GUGUAAUGGGCGAGCCUGACGGAGCACGCCGCGUGAGGGAUGAAGGCCUCUGGGCUGUAAACCUCUUUUAUCAAGGAAGAAGAUCUGACGGUACUUGAUGAAUAAGCCACGGCUAAUUCCGUGCCAGCAGCCGCGGUAAUACGGGAGUGGCAAGCGUUAUCCGGAAUUAUUGGGCGUAAAGCGUCCGCAGGCGGCCCUUCAAGUCUGCUGUUAAAAAGUGGAGCUUAACUCCAUCAUGGCAGUGGAAACUGUUGGGCUUGAGUGUGGUAGGGGCAGAGGGAAUUCCCGGUGUAGCGGUGAAAUGCGUAGAUAUCGGGAAGAACACCAGUGGCGAAGGCGCUCUGCUGGGCCAUCACUGACGCUCAUGGACGAAAGCCAGGGGAGCGAAAGGGAUUAGAUACCCCUGUAGUCCUGGCCGUAAACGAUGAACACUAGGUGUCGGGGGAAUCGACCCCCUCGGUGUCGUAGCCAACGCGUUAAGUGUUCCGCCUGGGGAGUACGCACGCAAGUGUGAAACUCAAAGAAAUUGACGGA
RNAcentral lists this ribosomal RNA (534 nucleotides) under uncultured bacterium. RNAcentral describes it as "bacterial SSU rRNA". It matches the Rfam family "Bacterial small subunit ribosomal RNA", at positions 366 to 917 of the family's 1533-position model. The record is from RNAcentral.